Molecule: transfer RNA, 69 nt
Filed under: Trichechus manatus (West Indian manatee)
Lineage: Eukaryota; Metazoa; Chordata; Mammalia; Sirenia; Trichechidae
Also listed under: 2 other names
Description: transfer RNA-Trp
Source: RNAcentral
AGGGAUUUAGGUUAGCAGAGACCAAGAGCCUUCAAAGCCCUAAGCAAGUUAAUUAACACUUAAUCCCUG